CAGCCGCCGCGGUAAUACAGAGGGUGCGAGCGUUAAUCGGAUUUACUGGGCGUAAAGCGUGCGUAGGCGGCUUCUUAAGUCGGAUGUGAAAUCCCUGAGCUUAACUUAGGAAUUGCAUUCGAUACUGGGAAGCUAGAGUAUGGGAGAGGAUGGUAGAAUUCCAGGUGUAGCGGUGAAAUGCGUAGAGAUCUGGAGGAAUACCGAUGGCGAAGGCAGCCAUCUGGCCUAAUACUGACGCUGAGGUACGAAAGCAUGGGGAGCAAACAGGAUUAGAUACCCCAGUAGUCCCUGUCUUUAUACA
This 301-nucleotide ribosomal RNA is filed under the name uncultured bacterium. RNAcentral describes it as "partial 16S ribosomal RNA". It matches the Rfam family "Bacterial small subunit ribosomal RNA", at positions 509 to 809 of the family's 1533-position model. The record is from RNAcentral.